This 625-nucleotide ribosomal RNA is filed under the name Pseudomonas aeruginosa. Its description in RNAcentral is "bacterial SSU rRNA". It matches the Rfam family "Bacterial small subunit ribosomal RNA", at positions 56 to 677 of the family's 1533-position model. The record is from RNAcentral. Lineage: Bacteria; Pseudomonadati; Pseudomonadota; Gammaproteobacteria; Pseudomonadales; Pseudomonadaceae.
UGCAGUCGAGCGGAUGAAGGGGGCUUGCUCCUGGAUUCAGCGGCGGACGGGUGAGUAAUGCCUAGGAAUCUGCCUGGUAGUGGGGGAUAACGUCCGGAAACGGGCGCUAAUACCGCAUACGUCCUGAGGGAGAAAGUGGGGGAUCUUCGGACCUCACGCUAUCAGAUGAGCCUAGGUCGGAUUAGCUAGUUGGUGGGGUAAAGGCCUACCAAGGCGACGAUCCGUAACUGGUCUGAGAGGAUGAUCAGUCACACUGGAACUGAGACACGGUCCAGACUCCUACGGGAGGCAGCAGUGGGGAAUAUUGGACAAUGGGCGAAAGCCUGAUCCAGCCAUGCCGCGUGUGUGAAGAAGGUCUUCGGAUUGUAAAGCACUUUAAGUUGGGAGGAAGGGCAGUAAGUUAAUACCUUGCUGUUUUGACGUUACCAACAGAAUAAGCACCGGCUAACUUCGUGCCAGCAGCCGCGGUAAUACGAAGGGUGCAAGCGUUAAUCGGAAUUACUGGGCGUAAAGCGCGCGUAGGUGGUUCAGCAAGUUGGAUGUGAAAUCCCCGGGCUCAACCUGGGAACUGCAUCCAAAACUACUGAGCUAGAGUACGGUAGAGGGUGGUGGAAUUUCCUGUGUA